AGAGUUUGAUCAUGGCUCAGAACAAACGCUGGCGGCGUACUUAACACAUGCAAGUCGAACGAGAAAGGGAGCUUCGGCUCCUGAGUAAAGUGGCGAACGGGUGCGUAACACGUAAGUAAUCUACCUUAGACUCUGGAAUAACUCUCCGAAAGGGGGGCUAAGGCUGGAUAGGGUCCUCGAGAUGUAGGUCGCGAGGGGAAAGCAGGCCUCUGUUAUAAGCUUGCGGUCUAGGAUGAGCUUGCGUCCCAUUAGUUUGUUGGUGAGGUAACGGCUCACCAAGACGACGAUGGGUAGCUGGUCUGAGAGGAUGAUCAGUCACACUGGCACUGAGACACGGGCCAGACUCCUACGGGAGGCAGCAGUGGGGAAUUUUGCGCAAUGGGCGAAAGCCUGACGCAGUAACGCCGCGUGGAGGACGAAGGCCUUCGGGUUGUAAACUCCUGUCAGGGGGGAAGAAGAACUUGGGCGUAGAAUAUAUUUUCGAGUUCUGACGGUACCCCCAAAGGAAGCCCCGGCUAAUUCCGUGCCAGCAGCCGCGGUAAUACGGAAGGGGCUAGCGUUGUUCGGAAUCAUUGGGCGUAAAGGGCGCGUAGGUGGUCUUGUAUGUCCGUCGUGAAAGUGCACGGCUCAACCGUGUUUGGUCGGCGGAAACUGCAAGACUUGAGGCUGGGAGGGGCUGGAGGAAUUCCCUGUGUAGCGGUGAAAUGCGUAGGGAUAGGGGAGAACACUCGUGGCGAAGGCGUCCAGCUGGACCAGUCCUGACACUGAGCGCGAAAGCGUGGGUAGCAAACAGGGAUUAGAUACCCUGGUAGUCCACGCCAUAAACGAUGGCACUAGUGCCGGCCGUAUUGGAUCCCGUCGGUGCCGGCGCUACGCAGGUAGUGCCCCGCCUUGGGGAUUACCGGUUCGCAGACUGUAACUCGCAUGAAGUUGAGCCCG
Molecule: ribosomal RNA, 939 nt
Filed under: uncultured marine bacterium
Lineage: Bacteria
Description: bacterial SSU rRNA
Rfam family: Bacterial small subunit ribosomal RNA
Source: RNAcentral